Mesocricetus auratus (golden hamster) is the source of this 2777-nucleotide long non-coding RNA. RefSeq lists it as uncharacterized. The record is from RefSeq and is a predicted model, not a curated record. The transcript is spliced from 2 exons. Lineage: Eukaryota; Metazoa; Chordata; Mammalia; Rodentia; Cricetidae.
GGGACGCGCGCGAUCGCGGGGUCACGGCCGGGCCCGGACCCCUCCCCUCCCCCACCCCGCUCGGGCCUCCCGCGGGCACCGCGGAAGUGCUGCCCCGGUUGCGCGCGCUCCGCCGCCGGCCGCGUGCUCGCACUGCGUCCCGCAGGGCUGGGGGCCAUCCGGAUCUGCCUGUCUCCCUCCUCUGGGAAAGACGAGGCUUGGCUUCCAAGCGCCGGGGCUAUCCUGCGGCUUUGUUGCUCUGUAGGAGUUCGCGGGAGACCUUUGACGGGUAGCAAAACUGUGCUUGGUGUAGCGAACGGAUCGCGGCUGGGAAGCAUCUUUUUGGGGUGAGGGUCUGAGUGUGUCUCCCUGCGCUUGCCCUCCCCACCGUGCCCCGCUAGGAGGAGCUGGGUUGCGAGCGAGCGCGCCGAAGAGUCCCGGAAUCCUGGCGCUCUGCGGGAGCGAAGGGGCGGAGUGCGUGGUGGGAGGUGGGCACAGCCCCAAGCCCGGGUCCUUUGGCGCCUGGCGGCCUUGGCCGCGCGGCGACAGCCCUGUCAUUAUUGUGUUAUUAUUUGUUGGGUGAAAGAGCCCUCCUGGCCGUCUAGGGUGUAAACAAGGUCUGGCGAGGUGACAGCCCAGGAGACGAGCACUUCUCAGUUUGAAGACAGUUUUCUUGCCAGUCUCCCUCCCUGAGGGCUUCGGGCAUCCUGGAGUCUCCGGGUGGAGAUGCACGUGUAGGGGGCUCCAUUCCCCGGGCCGCAGGGAGGACUGGCCAAGCGCUCCAAGCUGCGGCUUUGUUUUGACAGGGUGACAGCGAAAGGGGGCGGGGACUUGGUCUUGUCAGCCUUGGCCGCUCUUAGCUGGGUCCAGGAAGAGGCGCGCUCACUCACACACCUCCCGUGCCGCAACUCCCGUCUGCUGCAAAAGGGGUCAAGUUCCCGGCUUCCGCUUCUCACCCCACCCCCCACAGCGAGGGUGGAUUAGCCUAGCGGAUGACAUUCCUCCUGGGGAAUGCUGGUCGCAGUGUCUGCUGGAGGGCCUCGGAUGGUCUCCUGCGGGCCCUUUCUAUGCGGCCACCUCCUGUUUAGGUCUUGCAGUGGCUCUGCCUUCCCGAGGAGGCUGUAGCGCGGGCCUUUAUGCACAGUGGUGUGCGCUGGGAUUGCUGAAUGAGCUGGUGGAAACGCUGGUGCUGACUCAGGUCUGGGGUGGGCGUUUGAGGACCUGCAUUUCUAACAAAGCCCCGGGAGAUGCGAGUGGUAAUUGAGAAUACUUUCCACGAAGCAAGUAUAUUACUACUUUUGAAUUCUGUACAGGAACUUUGCAAUACUAACGUCACAUCGUAUAUCCUACGAAGGAGUAUUCGUCUAAGACACAGGAAAGGUCUGGAGUUCUGCUCCAGUAGCUACAGAGUAACGAAUGCAGGACCUCUGGUGUAGCACGAAGGCACAAAACAGAGAGUGGCAGACGGAACUCAGAGCAAGCUCAAGGACUCAAUAUAAUAGGCUUGACUUUUGCAGUGGCUCUGGGCUCUUUCAGAAACCCAGUCAGUUAUCAAUUCUGCCUGGGAUUCAGUAUGUUUCCUGAGUCCCCAUCACCCUUCAUACAGCCUGCUGUUGUGUAGUGUCUGAAACUUUCCUGAUAUUGCAGGCAUGCCGUUUUUUCUCCCAUGUCUCCCCAUGAAGCCCAGGAUGGCCUUGAACUCCUCCUAUCUGUUUAAGAUUACAGCCCUACCACCAUGCUCCUCCACUGACCUUGACGUUUUCCUGAGUAUUGGAACAUAACUUCAAGUGUAUAACUUUAGUAGUUCUUAAAGGAAAACCUGUUAUUUAAGCCCCUUCUUCCUGCUUCUGAGAAGCUUGGAAAGUGUGGGAGUUUAGUGUGUGUGUGUGGUCAGUUCUCCCUCCUUCCACGUGGGUUCUGGAACUUGAAGUCAGCUUGUCAAGAGUUUGAGAUGAACAGUUUACCUCCUGAGUAUCGUCACCAGCCUGGAAUUUGUCUUUGUACUUAAUUCGAGCAAGCCACAAAAACUCGACCUUUGCCAGUGGCUCCUGGCUCAAUAGGAGAGCAAGGAAGCUGGAAAAGUUGAGUCUGCGAAGACAUAGUUUCCUGGGGGCCACCGGAAGAAGAGCAGGCCCUGAGACCCAGACAAGAUCUGGACCAGGAAAAGGGAAAAGCCUGUAUGACAAACUUGUUUUACAGGCUCCAGCCUAGAGUUCGUUGAACUGUGUGUGCCUGGUAAAGGUUGCAUCAGAGCCGCUUGGCUUGUGUGACACAGCCAGAGGGAUGGGGAAUAUAUAGUUUAGACCUUGCCGGCUUCUGGUCCUUAGGUACCCCUUUCCUGAGUCUGUAUUCUGUGUCUGGCCUGGUUGAUGUCUCUGGGUGGUAUUUAACAGUUCUCCUUCUAGCUCAGGUCUUUGAAUGGUUCCUUUGGGAUCUGAAAACAAUUCUUCCCUCUUGGAAAUUAAUCAGUGUUGAUCUCACAUGCAAACAGAGACUCUUAACAACAACAACAACAACAACAACAAAACCCCAAAUACCCAAGUGCUCCCCUCCCCCAUUUAACCUCAGAUACCUUGUCUUUUAUUUGUUCUUAGCCAACAUUUUUGUUAGGAAUCAUCCAAAUUCUCCCUUCCUGCAGAUUUGAUUGUGAUAUGAUUUACUUAGUUAUUGCGAUAGAGGCUCUCUUUGUAGUCCUGGCUACCCUUGAACUCCAUUUGUAGACCACGUUGACCUUGAACUCAUAAAGAUCUUUUUGACUCUGCCUCCUGAAUAUUGGAAUUAAAGGUAUGUGCCACCUU